GCCAGGCGCAGUGGAGCAUGCCUGUAGUCCCAGCUACUCAGGAGGCUAAGGCUGGAAGAUCGCUUGAGUUCAGGAGUUCUGGGCUGUAGUGCACUAUGCCCAUCAGGUGUCUGCACUAAGUUCGGUCCCGGGAAGAGGGGACCACCAGAUUGCCAAAGGAGAGGUGAACCAGCCCAGGUCAGAAAUGGAGCAGGUCAAAACUCCCGUGCUGAUCAGUAGUGGGAUCACGCCUGUGAAUAGCCACUGGACUCCAGCCUGGGCAAUAUAGCAAGACCCUGUCUCAA
Callithrix jacchus (white-tufted-ear marmoset) is the source of this 284-nucleotide unclassified non-coding RNA. It matches the Rfam family "Metazoan signal recognition particle RNA". Rfam says of the family: The signal recognition particle (SRP) is a universally conserved ribonucleoprotein. It is involved in the co-translational targeting of proteins to membranes. Lineage: Eukaryota; Metazoa; Chordata; Mammalia; Primates; Cebidae. The record is from Ensembl.